ACUUCCGGGCAGCAGUCGAUAAAUGUCACUUUGUUUUGCUUUGGUUAUGCUCAGAUGACAGCAUUAAAAUGAACCUACAGCCAAUAUAGAUUCCCAACUUAUGCAAAAAGAGGAAGAAGUGGAUUUAUAGAUGCAGAUGCUGUUAUAUACAUCAUUUCCUUCAGAUGUAUCAAUGUGUUGGUGACUGUUAUGAAGAGAAUGGGCCCAUUUUAACAACUUCUAGGAUGGGCGGUACAGGGUUCAUACCAGUGAUCAAUUUGUCAUGACUCUUAUGAAGUUGCACCUAAAUCUGAGGGAUCUACAUUUAGCAAGCCAGAGGGCUCAAUGCCGAAUUUACCUCUGAAAGAAUCGUAAUGGAUACAACAAACAGAACACUGGAUUUAAUUUUAAAAAUGAAUAACUAGUCAUUAUCUGACAGCAACUACAUUGUGCAAAAUUUGUCACACAGCAAAGGCUAUCACUUGUGUAGCACAAUUGUUCUGAAUUCUAUCCUGGAUCCACCUUUGAUGGUGACAUUGUUGAUCACUGAGGUGUAUUGGAGAUGUUGAAGCCAGAUGAUAUAUGAUUCUUGCUAAUAAAGGAUUUGAUA
Ostrea edulis (European flat oyster) is the source of this 589-nucleotide long non-coding RNA. RefSeq lists it as uncharacterized. Lineage: Eukaryota; Metazoa; Mollusca; Bivalvia; Ostreida; Ostreidae. The transcript is spliced from 2 exons. The record is from RefSeq and is a predicted model, not a curated record.